GGGGCUGCACUGGUUUCGACGGGGGCAGUGAGGCUGGAUAAGCGGGCGGAGGCGCCUGGCCUCCAUAAAACGGGCAAUUUUUUAAAUUAACUGACAACAAUAAAGUUGCUCUGGCUGCCUAAUUAGGCGCCCAUCCUCCCCGGAAGGACCACGAGCCGGGCUAGGGUGUGAUCUGAGUGGUGACCGUGCGGCGGGAAAGAGUUGACUCGCCCAUGCACAAUGACUCUACCAAGGCCGUGAGCGUGUUUGUUCGCGCGCGGCCGAGGGAAUGUAAAUAACAAACUGUGCCCGGAGAAAGUCCAGUCAAGUUGCUUUCGGACAGGGGUCCGAUUCCCCUCAGCUCCACCA
RNAcentral lists this transfer-messenger RNA (348 nucleotides) under human gut metagenome. It matches the Rfam family "transfer-messenger RNA". From Rfam's summary of the family: Bacterial tmRNA, also known as 10Sa RNA or SsrA, is named for its dual tRNA and mRNA-like properties. The record is from RNAcentral.